GACGAACGCUGGCGGCGUGCCUAACACAUGCAAGUCGAGCGGGGUUAUGGAGUAGCUUGCUACGAAGUAGCCUAGCGGCGGACGGGUGAGUAACGCGUGAGCAAUCUGCCUCAUACAGGGGGAUAACAGGUGGAAACACUUGCUAAUACCGCAUAAGACCACAGCACUGCAUGGUGCAGGGGUCAAAGGAGUAAAAUCCGGUAUGAGAUGAGCUCGCGUCCCAUUAGCUAGUUGGCGGGGUAACGGCCCACCAAGGCGACGAUGGGUAGCCGACCUGAGAGGGUGAUCGGCCACACUGGGACUGAGACACGGCCCAGACUCCUACGGGAGGCAGCAGUGGGGAAUAUUGCGCAAUGGGGGGAACCCUGACGCAGCAACGCCGCGUGAGUGAAGAAGGUCUUCGGAUCGUAAAACUCUGUCAUAGGGGAAGAAGGAGAUGACGGUACCCUAUGAGGAAGCCCCGGCUAACUACGUG
This 475-nucleotide ribosomal RNA is filed under the name uncultured bacterium. RNAcentral's name for it is "bacterial SSU rRNA". It matches the Rfam family "Bacterial small subunit ribosomal RNA", at positions 28 to 507 of the family's 1533-position model. The record is from RNAcentral.